UCUCACCUGAGAUGCCAGUCAUCUGCCAUUUUGAACCUACAAUUACUUUAAACGGGACUCUCAUAUUGCUGUGUCGAUGUCAGGCCUUCCGUGCUCUUGCACCGGCAGAGGAAGAUUGAAGCACAUGCUGCGGACACCCACCUGGCAUGCGUGCUAGGAGUCAAAAUGCAGGUUCGGCGUUUCAGGUUUUUU
Molecule: non-coding RNA, 192 nt
Filed under: Sarcina sp. DSM 11001
Lineage: Bacteria; Bacillati; Bacillota; Clostridia; Eubacteriales; Clostridiaceae
Also listed under: 2 other names
Description: 6S / SsrS RNA
Rfam family: 6S / SsrS RNA
About the family: E. coli 6S RNA was the first non coding RNA to be sequenced, but its function was unknown until recently.
Source: RNAcentral